Colossoma macropomum (tambaqui) is the source of this 236-nucleotide long non-coding RNA. RefSeq lists it as uncharacterized. The record is from RefSeq and is a predicted model, not a curated record. The transcript has 3 exons. Lineage: Eukaryota; Metazoa; Chordata; Actinopteri; Characiformes; Serrasalmidae.
GUUCUUGAUCUGAGCAAUCAACACAUGCUCAAGACUCUCACCAAGAAAGAAAAAAGAUACAGAUUGGGAUUCGAACCAGCAACCUGCUGACCUUGGAAGAUUGGCAGCUACCAGCGAGCCACAGGACCUCAUGAGACAUACCAACAACUAUGCCAUAGGAGAACAUGAGGAAGUGGACACUGGGGGCGAAGGCACUGAGCAUGAGGCCUCCGGAGAUCAUAACACCACUGAAGAUG